Molecule: ribosomal RNA, 1433 nt
Filed under: uncultured bacterium
Lineage: Bacteria
Description: bacterial SSU rRNA
Rfam family: Bacterial small subunit ribosomal RNA
Source: RNAcentral
GUUCAGGAUGAACGCUAGCUACAGGCUUAACACAUGCAAGUCUAGGGGCAGCAUGGUCUUAGCUUGCUAAGGCCGAUGGCGGCCGGCGCACGGGUGAGUAACACGUAUCCAACCUGCCGUCUACUCUUGGACAGCCUUCUGAAAGGAAGAUUAAUACAAGAUGGCAUCAUGAGUCCGCAUGUUCACAUGAUUAAAGGUAUUCCGGUAGACGAUGGGGAUGCGUUCCAUUAGAUAGUAGGCGGGGUAACGGCCCACCUAGUCUUCGAUGGAUAGGGGUUCUGAGAGGAAGGUCCCCCACAUUGGAACUGAGACACGGUCCAAACUCCUACGGGAGGCAGCAGUGAGGAAUAUUGGUCAAUGGGCGAGAGCCUGAACCAGCCAAGUAGCGUGAAGGAUGACUGCCCUAUGGGUUGUAAACUUCUUUUAUAAAGGAAUAAAGUCGGGUAUGGAUACCCGUUUGCAUGUACUUUAUGAAUAAGGAUCGGCUAACUCCGUGCCAGCAGCCGCGGUAAUACGGAGGAUCCGAGCGUUAUCCGGAUUUAUUGGGUUUAAAGGGAGCGUAGAUGGAUGUUUAAGUCAGUUGUGAAAGUUUGCGGCUCAACCGUAAAAUUGCAGUUGAUACUGGAUAUCUUGAGUGCAGUUGAGGCAGGCGGAAUUCGUGGUGUAGCGGUGAAAUGCUUAGAUAUCACGAAGAACUCCGAUUGCGAAGGCAGCCUGCUAAGCUGCAACUGACAUUGAGGCUCGAAAGUGUGGGUAUCAAACAGGAUUAGAUACCCUGGUAGUCCACACGGUAAACGAUGAAUACUCGCUGUUUGCGAUAUACAGCAAGCGGCCAAGCGAAAGCGUUAAGUAUUCCACCUGGGGAGUACGCCGGCAACGGUGAAACUCAAAGGAAUUGACGGGGGCCCGCACAAGCGGAGGAACAUGUGGUUUAAUUCGAUGAUACGCGAGGAACCUUACCCGGGCUUAAAUUGCAGAUGAAUUACGGUGAAAGCCGUAAGCCGCAAGGCAUCUGUGAAGGUGCUGCAUGGUUGUCGUCAGCUCGUGCCGUGAGGUGUCGGCUUAAGUGCCAUAACGAGCGCAACCCUUGUUGUCAGUUACUAACAGGUUCCGCUGAGGACUCUGACAAGACUGCCAUCGUAAGAUGUGAGGAAGGUGGGGAUGACGUCAAAUCAGCACGGCCCUUACGUCCGGGGCUACACACGUGUUACAAUGGGGGGUACAGAGGGCCGCUACCACGCGAGUGGAUGCCAAUCCCAAAAACCUCUCUCAGUUCGGACUGGAGUCUGCAACCCGACUCCACGAAGCUGGAUUCGCUAGUAAUCGCGCAUCAGCCACGGCGCGGUGAAUACGUUCCCGGGCCUUGUACACACCGCCCGUCAAGCCAUGGGAGCCGGGGGUACAUGGAGUGCGUAACCGCGAGGAGCGCCAUA